UGGAGAGGAGGGUUGUGAAGAUGCUUGGCCUGGAAGUCGUGGGGCAAAAAGAGGUCGUUGUGGGACUGUUUGUACAGUUGGUUGGGGCUGAGACGAGGUUCGAGUUGGAGAUGGUGGCACAGAUGCAGCUCUUGGCUGUGGAGCUGCAAGAGGUGGCGACCGAGUUUGAGAGGCAGCAGGAGCUUCAGUUGUUGCACGAGAUGGCGAUACUGGCUGUGAGGUAACCCGAGAUGGUGAUGGAGGCACAGAGGCAGCUCGUGUUUGAGUUCUUGCACGAGAU
RNAcentral lists this unclassified non-coding RNA (280 nucleotides) under Hevea brasiliensis (rubber tree). Lineage: Eukaryota; Viridiplantae; Streptophyta; Magnoliopsida; Malpighiales; Euphorbiaceae. The record is from RNAcentral.